UACAGAGGGUGCAAGCGUUAAUCGGAGCUACUGGGCGUAAAGGGCGCGUAGGCGGUUAUUUAAGUUUGAUGUGAAAUCCCUGGGCUUAACCUAGGAACUGCAUUGAAUACUGGGUAACUGGAGUACUGUAGAGGGUAGUGGAAUUUCCGGUGUAGCGGUGAAAUGCGUAGAGAUCGGAAGGAACACCAGUGGCGAAGGCGGCUACCUGGACAGAUACUGACGCUGAGGCGCGAGAGCGUGGGGGAGCAAACAGG
This 254-nucleotide ribosomal RNA is filed under the name uncultured bacterium. Its description in RNAcentral is "partial 16S ribosomal RNA". It matches the Rfam family "Bacterial small subunit ribosomal RNA", at positions 524 to 776 of the family's 1533-position model. The record is from RNAcentral.